Molecule: ribosomal RNA, 450 nt
Filed under: uncultured bacterium
Lineage: Bacteria
Description: partial 16S ribosomal RNA
Rfam family: Bacterial small subunit ribosomal RNA
Source: RNAcentral
UAAGCCACGCUACUGUGCCGCAUCGUGCACGUUCCGAUUUAUUGGUUUAAGGGUGCGAGGCGGUAAGCAUGGUGAACUUAGUACUGGGAUGACUUCUGAGUAAGAGAGGUGGCGAUUGAGUGUGGGGAAAUGCUUAUAUCAAGACACCAUAGCGAAGGCAGCUACUAGAUCUGACGCUGAUGCACAAAGUGGGGGAUCAAACAGGAUUAAUACCCUGGUAGUCCCACUGUAACUGAUUACUCGAUGUGCAGCGCGUCUGAAAGCGAUAAGAAUCACCUGGGGGUACGCCGCAAGGGUGAAACUCAAAGGCACAAGUUUAUCGCGGAGAACUUACCUGGCUAGUAUGAGAUCGCAGGUCUGCAUGGCUUUCAGCUCGUGCCGUGAGGUGUGGGUUAAGUCCCCAACGACGCACCCCUAUUUUAGUUGCACGGACUCUAAGAGACUGCCUGC